This 465-nucleotide ribosomal RNA is filed under the name uncultured bacterium. Its description in RNAcentral is "bacterial SSU rRNA". It matches the Rfam family "Bacterial small subunit ribosomal RNA", at positions 329 to 792 of the family's 1533-position model. The record is from RNAcentral.
GGCCAGACUCCUACGGGAGGCAGCAGUGAGGAAUAUUGGUCAAUGGUCGGGAGACUGAACCAGCCAAGCCGCGUGAGGGAUGAAGGUACAGAGUAUCGUAGACCUCUUUUGUCAGGGAACAAAGGCGGGGACGUGUCCCCGGAUGAGUGUACCUGAAGAAAAAGCAUCGGCUAACUCCGUGCCAGCAGCCGCGGUAAUACGGAGGAUGCGAGCGUUAUCCGGAUUUAUUGGGUUUAAAGGGUGCGUAGGCGGUCCGUUAAGUCAGCGGUAAAAUUGCGGGGCUCAACCCCGUACUGCCGUUGAAACUGCAUCCCUUGAGUGCGCGAGAAGUAUGCGGAAUGCGUGGUGUAGCGGUGAAAUGCAUAGAUAUCACGCAGAACUCCGAUUGCGAAGGCAGCGUACCGGCGCCCAACUGACGCUGAAGCACGAAGGCGUGGGUAUCGAACAGGAUUAGAUACCCCUGUA